Talpa occidentalis (Iberian mole) is the source of this 106-nucleotide small nuclear RNA. The record is from RefSeq and is a predicted model, not a curated record. Lineage: Eukaryota; Metazoa; Chordata; Mammalia; Eulipotyphla; Talpidae.
GCUCUCUUCGGCAGAACAUACAUUAAAAUUGGAACAAUACAAAAAAGAUUAGCAUAGCCCCCUGUGCAAGCAUGACACACAAAUUUGUGAAGCAUUCUAUAUUUUG